GACGAACGCUGGCGGCGUGCUUAACACAUGCAAGUCGAACGGAAAGGCCCCUUUGGGGGUACUCGAGUGGCGCACGGGUGAGUAACACGUGAGUAACCUGCCCUUGACUUCGGGAUAACUUCAGGAAACUGGGGCUAAUACCGGAUAGGAAUCCUUGCUGCAUGGUGGGGGUUGGAAAGCUUCGGCGGUUUUGGAUGGACUCGCGGCUUAUCAGCUUGUUGGUGGGGUAGUGGCUUACCAAGGCUUUGACGGGUAGCCGGCCUGAGAGGGCGACCGGCCACAUUGGGACUGAGAGACGGCCCAGACUCCUACGGGAGGAAGCAGUGGGGAAUAUUGCACAAUGGGCGGAAGCCGGAUGCAGCAACGCCGCGUGCGGGAUGACGGCCUUCGGGUUGUAAACCGCUUUCAGCAGGGGCGAAGCUUGUGGUGACGGUACCUGCAGAAGAAGCACCGGCUAACUACGUG
Molecule: ribosomal RNA, 465 nt
Filed under: uncultured bacterium
Lineage: Bacteria
Description: partial 16S ribosomal RNA
Rfam family: Bacterial small subunit ribosomal RNA
Source: RNAcentral